Molecule: ribosomal RNA, 467 nt
Filed under: uncultured bacterium
Lineage: Bacteria
Description: partial 16S ribosomal RNA
Rfam family: Bacterial small subunit ribosomal RNA
Source: RNAcentral
GACGAACGCUGGCGGCGUGCUUAACACAUGCAAGUCGAACGAAGACGACCGAGCUUGCUCGGUCUGAUUAUUGGCGAACGGGUGAGUAACACGUGAGCAACCUGCCCUUCACUCUGGGAUAACCCCGGGAAAUAGGGGCUAAUACCGGAUAUGAGCUCCUGUAGCAUGGGGGGGGUUGGAAAGUUUUGCGGUUGAGGAUGGGCUCGCGGCUUUUCAGUUUGUUGGUGCGGGAGUGGAUCACCAAGGCGGUGACGGGUAGCCGGCCUUAGAGGGGGACCGGCCACACUGGGACUGAGACACGGCCCAGACUCCUACGGGAGGCAGCAGUGGGGAAUAUUGCACAAUGGGCGCAAGCCUGAUGCAGCGACGCCGCGUGCGGGAUGACGGCCUUCGGGUUGUAAACCUCUUUCAGCAGGGAAGAAGCGAAAGUGACGGUACCUGCAGAAGAAGCGCCGGCUAACUACGUG